This 1255-nucleotide long non-coding RNA is filed under the name Arabidopsis thaliana (thale cress). Its description in RNAcentral is "long non-coding RNA (ATHA_LNC000376)". The record is from RNAcentral. Lineage: Eukaryota; Viridiplantae; Streptophyta; Magnoliopsida; Brassicales; Brassicaceae.
AGACUGUCAAGCUUCCUAAGAACUUCACUUUGCUUGGUCCCGGCCCUGGUUACACUUGCGGUCCUGCCAAAAUCGUGCCCUCUACCGUUUUUCUCACAACUGACAAACGGCGAAAAACACAAGCUUUGAGUAAGCAAUCAAUCAAAAACCUUAACUUGUUCCAUCAUCGAAAUCUAAACAUCAAUUUCAAACUUAUGUUUCUGCAGUGACAUGGAAUGUUACCUGCACAUACUCACAGUUUUUAGCAAGAAAGCAUCCAAGCUGUUGUGUCUCCUUCUCUUCUUUCUACAACGACACCAUAACUCCUUGCCCGUCUUGUGCCUGUGGCUGCGAGAACAAAAAGAGCUGCGUCAAGUGAGUAACAAAUCAUUGAAAUCCAAACUCUUUCUUAGAUAUCCUCUGAAAAAAUAUCAAUAUGAAUGUUUUCUUGCAGGGCUGAUUCUAAGAUUCUAACCAAGAAAGGUCUCAACACACCAAAAAAGGACAACACUCCUUUGUUGCAAUGCACACAUCACAUGUGCCCUGUUAGAGUCCACUGGCACGUUAAAACUAACUACAAAGACUAUUGGCGAGUGAAGAUAGCAAUCACAAAUUUCAAUUACCGGAUGAAUCAUACACUCUGGACUUUAGCAAUUCAGCAUCCAAAUCUCAACAAUGUGACUCAAGUUUUCAGCUUUGACUACAAACCAGUCUCUCCUUACGGAUCCAUAAGUAAAUAAAUACCUCCCUCAACCACAACUAUUCAACUUCAAACCAACCAUUGAAUGACUAAUAACAUUCUUAAAUCUUUUUGAUACAGAUGAUACUGGAAUGUUCUAUGGAACGAAGUUUUACAAUGAUUUAUUAAUGGAAGCUGGACCUUCAGGGAAUGUGCAAUCAGAGGUUUUGCUACAGAAAGAUCAAAAGACUUUUACUUUCAAGCAAGGUUGGGCUUUUCCUAGAAAAGUUUACUUUAAUGGUGAUGAAUGUAUGUUACCUCCACCAGAUUCAUACCCUUUUCUACCAAACUCUGCACAAGGGAACUUUGCUUCGUUCUCACUCACCAUUCUUCUUCUCCUAUUCAUCUCAAUAUGGUGAUUUGAUCUGAUCCUUCUGGGUUUUAAAACACUGAACCAGAACUGUUUUUUGUAAACUCAUUGCAAAGAUUGUAAAAGAAAAAAAGGAGUUUUGUGAGAGGAAAUGAUUAGAGAUGUGCAAGGCUUUUUUACCUUGAUCACUGCCAUUGAUCAAUGACUCUGUACUUCUUGGCUUUUUG